Molecule: ribosomal RNA, 429 nt
Filed under: Verrucomicrobiota bacterium
Lineage: Bacteria; Pseudomonadati; Verrucomicrobiota
Description: Verrucomicrobia bacterium partial 16S ribosomal RNA
Rfam family: Bacterial small subunit ribosomal RNA
Source: RNAcentral
UAGGGAAUCUUCCGCAAUGGACGAAAGUCUGACGGAGCAACGCCGCGUGAGUGAAGAAGGAUUUCGGUUCGUAAAACUCUGUUGUUAGGGAAGAAAAAAUGUAUAGUAACUAUAUACAAAAGAGACGGUACCUAACCAGAAAGCCACGGCUAACUACGUGCCAGCAGCCGCGGUAAUACGUAGGUGGCAAGCGUUGUCCGGAAUUAUUGGGCGUAAAGCGCGCGCAGGUGGUUUAGAAAGUCUGAUGUGAAAGCCCACGGCUCAACCGUGGAGGGUCAUUGGAAACUAAUAAACUUGAGUGCAGGAGAGAAAAGUGGAAUUCCUAGUGUAGCGGUGAAAUGCGUAGAGAGUAGGGGGAACACCGGUGGCGAAAGCGGCUUUUUGGCCUGCAACUGACACUGAGGCGCGAAAGCGUGGGGAGCAAACAGG